Non-coding RNA from Vicia faba (fava bean), 255 nucleotides. Lineage: Eukaryota; Viridiplantae; Streptophyta; Magnoliopsida; Fabales; Fabaceae. The record is from the annotation of a GenBank genome assembly.
AUGAAGAGAUCCGAACCAGUGAAUCUUGAAAUCUGUUAUAUAUGGAUGGUAGAGAUGAACUCGGUUAAAAGGUUUGUAUUGGAGACGCUUUACGAGAUAUAUAUCCAAGUUACUAAGGAACAUAAAAAGAGUGGGGAGACAACCCUUGCGGAAAUUGAAGUUACACUAAGUAAUGCUGCAUACAGACUGAAUAUCAGGCCCUUGCUAAGGCUGGCUUGCAACCCCGUUUUUUGGUUCAACUUCAAGUUUCAAUGA